This 300-nucleotide ribosomal RNA is filed under the name uncultured bacterium. Its description in RNAcentral is "bacterial SSU rRNA". It matches the Rfam family "Bacterial small subunit ribosomal RNA", at positions 399 to 691 of the family's 1533-position model. The record is from RNAcentral.
GCGUGCAGGAAGAAGGCCUUCGGGUUGUAAACUGCUUUUGUACGGAACGAAACGGUUCGGGUUAAUACCCUGGGCUACUGACGGUACCGUAAGAAUAAGCACCGGCUAACUACGUGCCAGCAGCCGCGGUAAUACGUAGGGUGCAAGCGUUAAUCGGAAUUACUGGGCGUAAAGCGUGCGCAGGCGGUUUUGUAAGACAGGCGUGAAAUCCCCGGGCUCAACCUGGGAAUGGCGCUUGUGACUGCAAAGCUGGAGUGCGGCAGAGGGGGAUGGAAUUCCGCGUGUAGCAGUGAAAUGCGU